GUGGCUGUAGCUCAGGGGUAGAGCGCUUGCCUAGUACACAUGAGACACUGAGUUCAAUCCUCAGCACCACA
This 71-nucleotide transfer RNA is filed under the name Marmota monax (woodchuck). It matches the Rfam family "tRNA". From Rfam's summary of the family: Transfer RNA (tRNA) molecules are approximately 80 nucleotides in length. Their secondary structure includes four short double-helical elements and three loops (D, anti-codon, and T loops). The record is from Rfam by way of RNAcentral. Lineage: Eukaryota; Metazoa; Chordata; Mammalia; Rodentia; Sciuridae.